AUAACAGUUGGAAACGACUGCUAAUACCGCAUAAGCGCACAGGAUCGCAUGAUCCGGUGUGAAAAACUCCGGUGGUAUGAGAUGGACCCGCGUCUGAUUAGCCAGUUGGCAGGGUAACGGCCUACCAAAGCGACGAUCAGUAGCCGACCUGAGAGGGUGACCGGCCACAUUGGGACUGAGACACGGCCCAAACUCCUACGGGAGGCAGCAGUGGGGAAUAUUGCACAAUGGGGGAAACCCUGAUGCAGCGACGCCGCGUGAGCGAAGAAGUAUUUCGGUAUGUAAAGCUCUAUCAGCAGGGAAGAAGAAUGACGGUACCUGACUAAGAAGCACCGGCUGAAUACGUGCCAGCAGCCGCGGUAAUACGUAUGGUGCAAGCGUUAUCCGGAUUUACUGGGUGUAAAGGGAGCGCAGGCGGUGCGGCAAGUCUGAUGUGAAAGCCCGGGGCUCAACCCCGGUACUGCAUUGGAAACUGUCGUACUAGAGUGUCGGAGGGGUAAGUGGAAUUCCUAGUGUAGCGGUGAAAUGCGUAGAUAUUAGGAGGAACACCAGUGGCGAAGGCGGCUUACUGGACGAUAACUGACGCUGAGGCUCGAAAGCGUGGGGAGCAAACAGGAUUAGAUACCCUGGUAGUCCACGCCGUAAAC
RNAcentral lists this ribosomal RNA (647 nucleotides) under uncultured bacterium. RNAcentral describes it as "bacterial SSU rRNA". It matches the Rfam family "Bacterial small subunit ribosomal RNA", at positions 143 to 807 of the family's 1533-position model. The record is from RNAcentral.